This 75-nucleotide transfer RNA is filed under the name SR1 bacterium human oral taxon HOT-345. RNAcentral describes it as "tRNA-Phe". It matches the Rfam family "tRNA". Rfam says of the family: Transfer RNA (tRNA) molecules are approximately 80 nucleotides in length. Lineage: Bacteria; Candidatus Absconditibacteriota. RNAcentral also lists the same sequence under 7 other names. The record is from RNAcentral.
GCCAAGGUAGCUCAGUGGUAGAGCAGAGGCCUGAAAAGCCUUGUGUCGGCAGUUCGAUUCUGCCUCUUGGCACCA